UGGAAUCUGCUUGCCUAGCAACGGACACACAGCUGCUACAGGACAACAGGCCACUCUGGCAAAGGAUAAUACUAAAAAUCAAUCUUAUCUCCAGAAACAUGGCACCGUCUGUCAUUAAAACCUGGAAAGAAAAAAAGGACACCCUCCGGGAUUCAAGACAGCUCUUACUAUGGGAUCAGACUGUUACCGGUCUGCUCUUUUUUCAGGCAUAUGACCUCCCUUUUUGCAGGCAAAAGGAAGUGCUGUUCCCAUUCACCUAAGGAUCUCUUUUUCCAUUGCACGGUUAAAGGCAGCACAGCCUCCUCCUGGGGCAUUGAAUCCCCGUGUGAAGACUUCUCACAAGCACUACCUCUACGUUGAGCCCUAUGCAAGCCUUUCAAACCUGAGGUGGUCAGCAUGAGUGCCCAUCUGCCAGAGCACUCCCCACUACGCAGCCGAAAGGAUAACCUGCUGUAGCCCGGCCACCUUCGGGCCCUUUGGCUGCUUCCGCGCGCGGUGCUCACCCGAGGCUGGUCCUUAGAGAUGGGGAAGAAGCGGCGAUUGAAGCUAUCUGCCACCAGAACUGCUUGUAGGGGCGGCGGCGGUUCCUCCUCCGACCCUUUGGCUCCCGCGCCGCUGCCGCUUCCCGGCCCAGGGCCGCUGCGCUUGUUGGCCCGACUAGCCACCGCACCAGGCGACGCCACUACAGUCGCCGCCAUCUUCUUCCCUCACGGCCACCGCUUCCGCACGGAAGCUGACACCGCUCGGAGUAGGGGACAAAAAGGACCCAGCGCUCGAAACGCGAAGGAUCAACGAAAGGAAGGAGGGAGGAGACAAGGAGACAGCAGUGCGCAGGCGUGUUCCCUAGGCGCCGGCCCCUGGGAGGAGCAAGUCGUGGGCCGCCUUUGGGCUCAGCGGAUGGAGGCGCGGGGUGGGGUGGAGUCCUAAGGCGCACAGACUCGAAUUGCAGGAUUCUACCAAGAUCCCCCAUUGCAUUGCAUUUGUUUUCACUUCCCCUUAGUCUCCUCCAAUCUGUGACAAUUCUUCAGUGUGUCCUUGUCUUUCAAGACUUUAACUUUUGUUAUCUUUUAUCAGUUUUGGAAGUUCCACCAAGAUGCCCAGGGGAUUCACCUUACAGAGCCAGGAAACAGAAGCUCGGGGUUGCUAAGAAACUUGCCCACGGUCACAUAGCCAGUAGGAAGCCCAGAGGUGCAAGGUGAACCUGGGUAGUCUGGCUCCAAAGAAUGUGAUCUUCAUCACAAAGCUAUACGUUCUCUGUUUGGGCAGUACUGCUACUGGUUAGGCUCUUGAAACUCCUUCAUAAGUUCCUCCCCUGAUUUGUUAAGAUAUUUUUUUUUCUUUGAUGCUUCCCUGAAAGUUUUUCAAUCAACUACAGGCCAGUGUACUUUAUAUUCAACAAAGGAAUGUUUCAGAAUUCUAUGGAAAAGGACUAUUUCAUAUACUUUGGAGUACAGGUUUCUGAUGGCAUUGCUUAAACAAUUUUGAAACCAUACUAGUGGACUCAGUCAGGAUUUCUAGAACUCUAGAGAAGCCAAUGAGUUCAUGACACCACUAGCCCAAGAUCCACUGAAGCAAGAAUUAGUUACAUAGGACUGAUGAAUUGUUGAGGGAUGAUUACUGUUUUUGUUUUAACUAUUGUUGAUAUUUUUGUAAUGUUCUAUUUUGUGGAUAUUUAAGUUAUCUAAACUUAUCUUAAACUAUCUUAAACUCUAAACUCUUAAGCUAUCUAUAACUCAUAGCAAUAUAAUAAUUAUAACUCUGCUUUUUUUUAGACUCUGCUUUUGUACACCAAAAUGAAACAUUUGUGAAUGAUAGCUUUUUCUCCUUCCCUGAGCCCUCUAGAAUUUGUAAACUCUUAUUAAAUAAUCUUAAUUUCAUGACAAUAUAAUUAUCACAUUUUCAUAACAAUAUAGUUAUUGGCAUAGAUUCAGUAAGAAUCUGUCCUCCUUUUUACCAGGACAUAAUUGGAAACACUGCUUAUGCAACCAAGGCCUCGCCUGGAGUGUUAUAUUUGGGAAUAACACUCCUUUAAUCAAAUAUGACCAGACACAUCUAAGGAGCUAGGUUAACUUUAUGGAGCCAAUGCUUACAAACCCUUCCAGGAAAAUUGGUUGAUACUUAGCUUACAAGGUUCUGAGCUUCUGGGUGGGUAAGAUCACUUUCUUGCCAGACCCAGGAAUCUUAGGAUAUUUGGGGAGAUUUAAGAAGAGACAAAUUUACCCAAUGGGUACUGUAGCUGAAAUCUGGUGUUGAGUUCUUGGUGUACCUAGAUUCAAGAGGCUUUUAAUUUAUGUUUUGGUUUAUUUAUUUAUUUACUUAUUUCACACCCAACACAACCCACCGUGAGGCUUGAACUCAUGACCCUGAGAUCAAGAUCUAAGCUGAGAUCAAGACCUGAGUUGAGAUCAAGAGUCAGAUGCUUAACCAGCUGAGCCACCCGGGCACCCAUCGAGAGGCUUUUAAAAGUCAAAUUUGAGGUUUUGGGGGAAAACUUUCAGCAAAGCAAGUUUAAGAAGGCCUAAGUGGCAAAUUUUCACUCUUGUUGCACCUGUAUAACUAGUAAAGUUAGAGACCAGCCUUAUUUGUGAUAAAAAAUAAUCUUCCUUUGAGAUUAUUUUUGAUCAAAAGGGUGGAAAUUAUAGAAAAAAAUGUGUAAUUCAAUGAGAAAUUAUGCAUUGUCUAUAGUAAUGGUUCCCAGCUUUCAUAUAACAAUCCUUUCAUUAUCUCUGUGCUAUAUGUCAGCUCUUUAAAUUGCAGGUAACUGGUGAAUAUUGUCAAUGACAAAAACCAAACAAUUAAGAAGACAGAUUUUACUUAGGCUGUUGCAGUAGGGAGAUCACCUAUAUCCAUAGAUCAGCGUAUGUAAGCAGGGUGGUUUUGCCCUAGACUUUUUAUAGGGAAAAGUAAGCAGGUUAAAGGUGGAAUGAAUUACAGCUGGGCUUGUUUCCCAAUCAGGGGAAGUCUCAGUCAGUUAAAUAGGAAAUGUUUACCUUUGUGUCUAGCUAGUUUUUGGAGAUAAACAGCUGUAAUCUCAGUUAAUCAUUCAUAUGACAAAGAGCCGGGAGUUAGAAGAUCUGUGUCUUACCUUGCCAGUGAAUUCAGGUGAAAGGGGAAAAGUCUGUGUUUGGUCUUGUCACAGGUAAAUAAGGGAGGCACCUGUGAAACCUACAGGAGUCAUGAGAGAAUGGACAGUGAGUGAGUCAUUUGGGGAAAGGUGGUUCUUUUCUGAAACAAAAAAGGGUGAAGGGAUUUCAGAAAGCAAAGAAUUGGGAAAAUUUCUUAGCCAUUGGUGUUUUCUGGGAACACAGGGCUCAGGUAAAGUAAAAUUCAACAUUACCAAUAUGCAAACUCUGUCUUGUCCUAUAGAGUUCCAGUGGACUUCCCUCCUCCUCCUGUGGAAAAAUUACCUCUAUUUGCAAUUCAGUAUCUUUACUCCGUAUAAAUUUGUGCUUCUUGACUUUUCCUUUGAACCAGUUAUAACACCUGUCUGCUUCUCUCAUAUUAUAUGAGUUGAAUCCAUUCUUCAAUAUGUAUUCCCUUUUAUACGAGAGUCAUGAUUUUGCCUUUUCCUGAAAAUUGUCUUUAAAUGGUAUAAUCCAUAUAGCUUAUUCAGAUAUCACCAGUUAUGCAUGCAAUCAUUUGUGUGUGUGUGUGUGUGUGUGUGUGUGUGUGUGUGUGUGUGAACAAGCCAGUUUCUAAGGGUCCCAGUAAGAGGCCAGGGAAUCGUAACAGCUGUGGAAAGCCCAAAGGCUAAUGGUGGCUACAGUGAAGACUGACACCCAGAGGCUAAGAGUUAUCAAAUAGAGUGAGGUGGGAUAAAUCCUUUGGUACAGAUCAUUCUGGAUUCAGAGUCUAAUGCUUAGUUUUUCAUAUUCAAGAAUUAUUAUUUCUGCAUUCCUUGGCAAUGACCUACAUGUGUUAAAACAUAGGAUUAAGAGUUAUACAUAAUUGGGGUCAAAAUGGUUCUAUCAUUUACUUGCUGUGUGACCCUGGGGAAGGAUCCUAACUUCCUUCUACCUUGGGGUCCUUAUCUGAAAACUGGGAAUAAUGUUAACACCUACCUCAUAGAAGUGUUGUGAGGAUAAAACAAGAUGAUGGAUGUGAUAGACUUGGCAUAUAGAAAGUACUCAGUAAGUGAUGGCUAUCAUUUUUUAAAGACUUUUAAAAAAUGUUUUUUUAAUUUAUUUUAAGAGAGAGACAGAGACUGAGUGUGAGGAGGGGAGGGACAGAGAGAAAGGGAGAGGGAGAGAAUCCCAAGCAGGCUUUGCGCUGUCAGUGCGGACACCAACACAGGAUUUGAUCUUACGAACCGUGAGAUCAUGACCUGAACUGAAAUCAAGAGUAGGGUGCUUAAAAGACAUGAAUAGACACUUUUCCAAAGAAGACAUAGAGAUGGCUAACAGACACAUGAAAAAAUGCUCAA
Felis catus (domestic cat) is the source of this 4423-nucleotide long non-coding RNA. RefSeq lists it as uncharacterized. The transcript has 6 exons. Lineage: Eukaryota; Metazoa; Chordata; Mammalia; Carnivora; Felidae. The record is from RefSeq and is a predicted model, not a curated record.